UGAGAAACUCCCAGAAAUAUGGGAUGAAAUGGUGCCGGAGAGAAGCAAAAGGGUGGCCAGCGGCAUCGUCUCAGGCAGAUGCGGCAGCCUCCGUCUCUGCUUUCUUGGGUACUUCUUGACAGUCACGAACGCAAAACAAUCGACUUCUUUUAAGUUUCUUGAAUUACUGGUUCUUGCAUUAUGAACUUAAGACGAAUAUCUUGGUUCAAGGGUUCUUGAGAUUCAAAAUCAAGAUUCGCCAGAGAUAAUUCAACCAAAUGAUUUUUGGUAUUCUUGUCCAGGGCUUGCAAGAAAUAAGUGAAAGAGGGGGAAGAUCCAUGAGUACUUUUCUUCUCAGUGCACAGGUACAUGAAAAUUUUAAAUUGAGGCUGUUGAAGUAUAAAUGAGGCAAUGAAAUAUAGAGAAACAAGAAAUCAUUUCCCAGAAAAGAAGGGCACUACAUGCCUAGAGCAUAUUAUUGAUUGAUUAUAUCAUGUUCAUGGUCUUACACAAUCUAGACAGCUACUUCAAGCUAAUGGAAAGCCAUGCAGUGAGUGAUAUCUUCACUCUGGAAGUUUGAAGUUUGAACGCAAACUCAUGUGUCUUCUUUAGGAGCAAACCGGUUUCCAUGUCGUCUUGGGUUCAUGUGAUUCUGAGUAUGAGCUUCGUGACUCGUGGGUUCUCUGAGACAUCGGCUGUCAUCUAAUGUAAAUACAAGUGUUCCUACUGUAAAUGAGAAUGCUUUGUUUGUCGUACUUUUGCGUCUAUGUAUUAUGUGAAGGAACGUUGCUUCCAAUUUUCAGCCCAACGAAUAAGA
Molecule: long non-coding RNA, 796 nt
Organism: Sesamum indicum (sesame)
Lineage: Eukaryota; Viridiplantae; Streptophyta; Magnoliopsida; Lamiales; Pedaliaceae
Source: RefSeq, a predicted model, not a curated record